Molecule: non-coding RNA, 73 nt
Organism: Pangasius djambal
Lineage: Eukaryota; Metazoa; Chordata; Actinopteri; Siluriformes; Pangasiidae
Source: the annotation of a GenBank genome assembly
GCAGUCAUGGCCUAACGGUUAGAGAGUUGAACUUAUAACCCGAAGGUCGUGGGUUCGAGUCUCAGGUCCGGCA